AGAGUUCGAUCAUGGCUCAGGAUGAACGCUGGCGGCGUGCUUAACACAUGCAAGUCGAACGAAGACAUCUGAGUGCUUGCACUUGGAUGGACUGAGUGGCGGACGGGUGAGUAACGCGUGGGUAACCUGCCUUAUACAGGGGGAUAACAGUUGGAAACGACUGCUAAUACCGCAUAAGCGCACAGAGCUGCAUGGCUCGGUGUGAAAAACUCCGGUGGUAUGGGAUGGGCCCGCGUCUGAUUAGGCAGUUGGCGGGGUAACGGCCCACCAAACCGACGAUCAGUAGCCGGCCUGAGAGGGCGACCGGCCACAUUGGGACUGAGACACGGCCCAA
This 334-nucleotide ribosomal RNA is filed under the name uncultured bacterium. Its description in RNAcentral is "bacterial SSU rRNA". It matches the Rfam family "Bacterial small subunit ribosomal RNA", at positions 8 to 334 of the family's 1533-position model. The record is from RNAcentral.